Molecule: long non-coding RNA, 20926 nt
Filed under: Musa acuminata (dwarf banana)
Lineage: Eukaryota; Viridiplantae; Streptophyta; Magnoliopsida; Zingiberales; Musaceae
Description: long non-coding RNA (MACU_LNC001726)
Source: RNAcentral
GAGCCUGGGAUUGGGCGUGGCGUGGCUGCUGCUCUUGGCCUGCGCCGUGUGGGCGUUGAACUGCGCGUGGUGGAGGCCUAGGCGACAGGACCGCUUGCUCCGGGCGCAGGGACUCCAAGGCACUCCUUACCGCUUCCUCCGCGGCGACCUCAAGGAGGACGAGCGCCUCCUCGCGCAGGCGCUCUCCAAGCCCAUGCCCCUCUCCCACCACAUCAUCCCUCGCGUCGAACCUUUCCUCCACGCCGCUAUGAACGAUCUCGGCAAGUCCUCUUGGCUGUUGCUGUCUCCCUCCCCCUUCUCCUCCUUUUGCUUUGCCAACUCUCAGUUGUUUCAGCAAGCUGUUCGAUUCCAUCACCAACAGAAGGAUUGAGAAAUCACUUCAUGCACUGAACUAGAUGAAACAAACAUUACAUAUCAAUUCAUAGAUUUCAGUAGGCAUAUAUACUUUCUUGAGGCCGACAAUUGACCUUCUUUAGAUUUCCAACUUGAGAACAGAUAUCAAGUGUGAGCCAUGCACUGACUUGUGAGCGAAGUCUUAUGCUGUGUUAAGAACAAACCUGUAGUCUCAAUUGCAGGCAGCAGAUUCUUCAGCUGGUUUGGACCUGUGCCACGAGUGAUGAUCAUGGACCCGGAAUUUGUGAGGGAAAUCCUAUCGAACAAGUUUGGUCAUUUUGAACGAGAAACUCUAAGCCCCGUCGGACGAGCUUUAGUUACUGGUCUUUUAAGCUAUAAUGGGGGAAAGUGGGCCAAACACAGGAGGAUUCUGAACCCUGCUUUCCAUGUCGAGAAGUUAAAGGUAAUCAAUCAUCCAUGGUUCUCUCCUUUGGACACAUCUCAAUCUUAACUUGCGGCUGAUACGAUUUUAGAUAAUUCAAAUGCCUCAUAAUUUGUUGUAAUUCGCAGCGGAUGUUGCCGGCGUUCUCUACUUCUUGUGGUGAUCUCGUCGGCAGAUGGGAGAAUUUGGUCGGCCAGGAGGGAUCCUGUGAAUUAGAUGUUUGGCCUGAGUUCCAAUACUUCACCGGAGACGUCAUUUCACGAGCAGCUUUCAGCAGCAACUACGAAGAAGGUAGACGAAUUUUCCAACUCCAACUCGAGCUCGCUCAACUCGUCGUUCAGGCUAUCCACAGUGCUUAUAUACCGGGUUACAGGUGAGCUCCUUCUGUGUCCAUGUUCCAGUCGAAGAACAACGAAGACUAUAUGACUCUGGAUGCUCUUUAACUUGCAAAUAUUAGAAUUCUUGCGAUUACUGGCUCUAAUUGCUGCUUUGUACGUGGCACAGAUUUCUGCCUACCCCAAUGAAUAACAGAAUAAAAGCGAUCAAUAAAGAGAUUCGAUCACUUCUACGAGGUAUAAUAAGGAAGAGAGAGGAAGCUAUGAAAACUGGUGAAGCAAGCGGCCAAGAUCUCUUGGGCUUGUUGAUGGAGUCCAAUAUCAAGCAAUUCCAGGAGCAUGGGAACAAGAAUGCUGGGAUGACCAUCGAUGAAGUGGUUGAUGAAUGCAAGCUAUUCUACUUUGCAGGCCAAGAAACAACUGCUAUCUUGCUUACAUGGACGAUGGUGGUCUUAAGCAUGCAUCCCGAAUGGCAAGAAAGGGCUAGAGAAGAGGUCCUGCAGGUCCUUGGGAAAGACAAACCAGAGAUCGAUGGUUUGAACCGUUUGAAGAUUGUGAGUGCUCUGCAAUUACGCUAAUCAGCUUUCUUUUAGGUAAAUGCAGGGUCUAAACAAUUGCUGUGGCAGGUGACGAUGAUACUAUACGAGGUUCUUCGGUUGUAUCCACCUCUGCUACUCAUCCAGAGGAGAACAUACAAGACGGUGGAAAUCGGAAACGUAUCGUACCCACCAGGAACACUGCUCGCAAUGCCCAUAGUUUUCCUUCACCAUGACCAAAUCUUGUGGGGCGAAGAUGCAAGUGAGUUCAAACCAGAGAGAUUCGCGGAAGGGAUAGCAAAGGCGUCGAGAGAUCAGGUUGCUUUCUUUCCGUUCGGCGGGGGUCCUCGCGUUUGCAUCGGUCAAAAUUUUGCGUUGCUGGAAGCUAAGAUGGGAUUGAGUACGAUUCUUCAAAGAUUUUGGUUUGAGCUCUCACCAUCGUAUGCUCAUGCUCCUCACAAUGCCGUCACGCUUCGACCUCAACAUGGUGCUCAACUGAGAUUGCACAAACUUGGAGUCGUCUCGUAACAAGCAGAAUCUCACUUGGGAGAUUAUGGUUCUGCGAUGCUUUGGUGCUUUAUUUACCGUGUAUUGUAAAAGGCUAUUUGUAGUUUGGAUUAGAAAAAUGAAGUGGUGGUUAAUAUUGUGCAAUGUUAUUGUCAUUUAAGACUAAAGCAUGUAAAAUGAGAGAAAACUCUAUCGCUUAUCUUAUGCACUCAUAGAUAUAUUUAAUAUAUUUAAUUAAAUUCUCAAUGGUUCGUAAUAUUUAAAUCAUUAUAAUAAUAUUAUUAUAACUGUUAUAGUAGAUAUGAUGUAGCUUACAGUAUCACUAAUGUGUUAUUACUUUAGUUGCUAAUAUUAUAUACUAUCCAAUAAUAAUCUUAUUUUCAUAUCAACACACCAUCUAUUGAUAUUUGGUGGAGAUCGAAAUCUUGUGAAUACCUAAUUGACAAACGAUCUAGUGUCUUUUACGAGCAAUUAUAAUAAACAAAUACAACCACCACGACCACCCAAGUUUUACUAUAAAAUUGGUCACCAAAAUAUACCCAGUGACAUUAGAGAAAAAUAGGUUCAUCAGUCUAGUCUGACAUGUUCGAUUGGUUUGAAUUAUCCAAAACUAAUACUAAUUUGAAUAGUAAAAGAAGCAUUGUUAAGAUCACUUCUGAUUUAGUUUUAUAGGAUAGAGAAUCCAACUUGGUGUGUUUUACUAAAGAUAAACUCGAAAAUAAGUCGGUUGGAUAUGAGUUAGUUUCCAACUCAAACAAUUCAAAAUCACUCUAAUAGAACCAAAUGGAAGCUUACAAAAAAUCUAAGCAUUUCAAUUAUCUUUCUAAGUAUAUCCAUAUAAGCUACUCGUUAUCAUUAACAAAAAAAUAAGGUUAGUUGCCAUUCUCGAUCAACAAUUGUGCUAUAUUUAGAACUUUCAAACCUAUAAUUAUGAUAUCAAAGAAUGAAAUACUCAUACAGAACAUCUUUGGUAAAGUCUAAUGACUAGAUACUCUAUUGAGACGACAUAAUCAUGUCUCCACACGAGCAACUAUGAGACUAACGCUUUUAUCAUAUGGACGGAUAUACAACACACCAAUCCAUUCGAUUAUCUCAAUGUCCCUAUCAAGUAACGAAAUUAUUUAAGGUAUACAACACACCAAUCUAUUCGAUUAUCUCAAUAUCCUUGUCAAGUAACGAAAUUAUUUAAGGUCUAUGUUUAAAGGCGAAUCAGUCUCAUUAUCGCGAUCUCAUCACAAUUCGAUUCCUAUUGCAUAGAUCCAUGAACAUCAUAACGAACAAUAUAAAGUGAAAAAAAAAUCAAAUAUAAAAUAAGCAAAAAGAGUAUAUAUUAUGUCACACGUGUUAUCUAUGACUCAUCCAUAGGAUCCAAUAAUUCAUGGGUUUAUUGGAUAUUCAAUAAGAUAGGGGCUCCAACAAAUAUCUCAUAUCUAAACCUCUACUCGUCGUAACACCUACCAUAUGUGUGUGACCCUUGAGACCCAAUAUCGAGCUGGCCGUAAGUUAUACCUAUUAGAACUUUUUUUUGCUCAAUGAACUAUUAUCCUCAUAAUAAUUCACUUGACUCAUCAACUGUGGACGUACUAUGCCACUAUACCGUAGUCCCCAAACGAUAUAGGGGAAUCUAAUAUAUUGGAUCUGUCAAUCAUUAGUUAUUGUAUAUAUAUAAUCCCUCAUCGAUUUAAUACCCCAGAGAUUAUAUAUCGGACAUGGUGCUAUCAGGCCCAUACGGUUUCUACUUGAGUAUCGCUCUAAUCAGAUUCUCCCGGAGAACUUUUUCUCCCUCAAUCUGAAUGACCCUAUCCAAAGAUUUAUCUAAGAACACAUACGAUAUUCCUCUCAUGACAUCAAGAGUGGAGGAUCCUAUAUAAACACUUAAUAGCCUUCAUAAAAUUGGUUGCCCCUCUCGAUGAUUGGUUGUGUUAAAUAUGAAACUUUCAUACCUAUAAGUCUAGUAUCAAAGAGUGUAGUACUUAUACAAGACAUUCUUGGUAUCUCAAGUUUAAGGAUCGGAUACACCACUGGAAUGACGGAAUUGUUAUUUGACAAUAAGGCAUCAUCAAUCAUCAAACAUUUCAUGAGCGAAUCAAUCAAUGAACUCAUUCUCAAAUGAGCAUAUGCAUUAUAUCCCUAGUAUCCCCACAUAAGUAGUUAUGAGACCAACCGUCUCCAUUAUAUGGAUGAGUAUAUAGUACAACUAAUCUGUCCGGUUAUCUCGAUGUCUCUCUGGAGUAACUUAUGAUCGAGAUUAUUUAGGGUACGUAUUUAAAGGCGAAUCAAUUUCAUUAUCGUGAUCUUAUUACGAUCUAAUUUCCAUUGCAUAGAUUCAUAAACAUCACAAUAUAUAUAUACAAUAAACAAUAUAAAGUAAAUAAUAAUAAUAAUAAUAAUAAUAAUAAUAAUAAUAAUAAUAAAUAUAUAUCAUGUCAUAAUCGUCAUCACUUAUGUGACUGACUUUUAGGACACCUAUAACUAACACUAUAUCAAACGUCAAUAAUAUUUUUUUCUCCGCACCUAUCUCUCACACUCCUCCUUUGCCCAUCACCUGUCACUCCUCUGCUCAUUCACUUCCAAUAUUACUUGAUGACUCAAUGCAAGUGAAUAAAGAUGUCGUUAGAAGGAAAGCAGGGUAAAGAAAAGAAAAGGAAAAUAGCAAGGUAUAGAAAAGAAAAAAAAUAUUUACAUUCAUUUAUGAAGUUUCUUUAUAAUAUUAAAAACUUUUAAAAUGAGACAGAUGAUUGCUAAUAUAAAUCUAUAAAUUUAAAUAAAAAAACUUUUAUAGUAUCAUUUGAUUAAUAUUUAAUAAAAAAAUUUAUAAUACCCAUAAUUGAGAAUCAUGUGUGGUUUAAUCAUUAAACUAUAAUUUGAGCCCUUUUUUUUUCUACCUGAUUGUGACCAAUAUAUAGUUUUAUUUUUUUUUAAGUUUAGCUCUAAUAUAAUGUUAGAAAUUGAUGAGUAUAAGUUAACAUGUAUCAUUUUAAAUACGAACUCAUUCCAAAUACUUAGACUUAUUAUGUUGUGAAUCAAAUAUAAUAUAUAUCAUCCGAAUUCUUAAGAUUAUUUUUUAAUCUCUUCAAACAUGAAUAUUGGCUAACAGACUCAAUAAGUAUCUAAUAAACAUUAAAGUAGAUAAGCAAAUACAAGGGCAAUCAGAACAUGUAUAAGAUACAUCCAAUGUUGCACAGAGAUUGUUUUCCAUGGCGAGUAUGAAAUCAUAGGAUUUCUAGAUAACACAACUAAAGAUAGACUAAACAAAGACUUAGUUGGCAAACAUUAGUGAUAACUCCACAUAGACUAAACUGAAACUCACUUAGCAAACAAACUAAUGAACGCAAAGAUUCACACUCAACGUAAAGCUUGGGUUGACUGUUCGACUGAUACAAGAUAAGAAGAUAGGUGGCACAUGAUGUUCAUAGAAGAUAUAGCAAAUCUUCUAUUGGAAGCUUUUGUAAUAUCAUAUAGUGUAAAGAAGAUAUUACAAGCAACACAGGCCGGAUGAAUGACCCUAAGAUGGAUUGGUGGCAUUGUUUAUAGGAGCUCUCGGUGUUAUCUUAAAUUAAAUUAAAAUUUUCUGUUGGAAGCCUUUGUAACAUCGCCUCUUGUUUUUGAAUCAUUUAUUUAGUAUUUGUCAUUCAAAUUCUUGUGUUCUUUAUGAUUCUACUAUUGAAUCAAUCGAUCGUUGUAUCUUUUGGUGUCCUUUCUCUUCGAAUCCAAACUCGAGGUAAACUUUUUCUUCUUGUAUGGACAAAGGUAAAUGGUAAAUGAUUUGAUGAAGAUAGUUUGGAUGGUCAGAACAUUUGGGUUUUGAUCGCUAUUGGCCUUUGGUGUAGUUGGCGUGCAAGGAAUGAUAUGGUUUUUAAUCAAAUUGUCUCAUCUCCUAGCAAGAUUUUAUAUAAAAGAAAUAAUAAUAAUAAUCUUAGCUGAUGACGAGGCUAAAUUACCUGAUGGCAUUCUGUAUGAAAAAGUUUAGUGCGGAUGGCGAUGGCUACACUGUGUGAGUCACCAGAGGGUGUCGCCAUUUCACCCACCCAUGGGAUAAGGUCGCGUUACAGCAGCCGAAUCCAUCCAUCACCGGACCGCUGCAGCCCUUCUCCCUUCUUGCUCUUUGCUGCUUUACUCCAUGGCGCUGUCCGUAUCAGUGGAGAGGCUGUGGAGCUUGGGAUGGUGUGUGCCGUGGCUGCUGCUCUUGGUCUGCGCCGUGUGGGCGCUGAACCACGCGUGGUGGAGGCCCAGGCGACAGGACCGCUUGCUCCGGGCGCAGGGACUCCAAGGCACUCCUUACCGCUUCCUCCGCGGCGACCUCAAGGAGGACAAGCGCCUCCUCGAGGAGGCGCUCUCCAAGCCCAUGCCCCUCUCCCACCACAUCGUCCCUCGCGUCGAGCCUUUCCUCCACGCCGCUAUGAACGAUCUCGGCAAGUGCUCUCGGCCGCUGCUGUCUCCCUCCCCCUUCUCCUCCUUUUGCUUUGCCAACUCUCAGUUGUUUCAGGAAGCUGUUCGAUUCCAUCACCAACUGAUCGAUUGAGAAAUCACUCCAUGCACUGAACGAGAUGAAACAAAUACUACAUAUCAUUUCAUUGAUUUUAGUAGGCAUAUAUACUUUCUUGAGGCAGACAAUUGACCUUCUUUAAAUUUCCAACUUGAGAACAGAAAUCAAGUGUGAGCCAUGCGCUGAUUUGUGAGCGAAGUCUUAUACGAUGUUAAGAACAAAUCUGUAGUCUCAAAUGCAGGCAGCAGAUUCUUCAGCUGGAUUGGACCAGUGCCACGAGUGAUGAUCAUGGACCCGGAAUUGGUGAGGGAAAUCCUAUCGAACAAGUUUGGUCAUUUUGAUCGAGCAAGUCUAAGCCCCCUCGGACGAGCUUUAGGUACUGGUCUUUUAAGCUAUAAUAGGGGAAAGUGGGCCAAACACAGGAGGAUUCUGAACCCUGCUUUCCAUGUCGAGAAGUUAAAGGUAAUCAAUCAUCCAUGGUUCUCUCCUUUGGACACAUCUCAAUCUUAACUUGCGGCGGAUACGAUUUUAGAUAAUUCAAAUGCCUCAUAAUUUGUUGUAAUUCGCAGCGGAUGUUGCCGGCGUUCUCUACUUCUUGUGGUGAUCUCGUCGGCAGAUGGGAGAAUUUGGUCGGCCAGGAGGGAUCCUGUGAAUUAGAUGUUUGGCCUGAGUUCCAAUACUUCACUGGAGACGUCAUUUCACGAGCAGCUUUCAGCAGCAACUACGAAGAAGGUAGACGAAUUUUCCAACUCCAACUCGAGCUCGCUCAACUCGUCGUUCAGGCUAUCCACAGUGCUUAUAUCCCGGGUUACAGGUGAGCUCCUUCUGUGUCCAUGUUCCAGUCGAAGAACAACGAAGACUAUAUGGCUCUGGAUACUCUUUAACUUGCAAAUAUUAGAAUUCUUGCAAUUACUGACUCUAAUUGCUGCUUUGUACGUGGCACAGAUUUCUGCCUACCCCAAUGAAUAACAGAAUAAAAGCGAUCAAUAAAGAGAUUCGAUCACUUCUACGAGGUAUAAUAAGGAAGAGAGAGGAAGCUAUGAAAACUGGUGAAGCAAGCGGGCAAGAUCUCUUGGGCUUGUUGAUGGAGUCCAAUAUCAAGCAAUUCCAGGAGCAUGGGAACAAGAAUGCUGGGAUGACCAUCGAUGAAGUGGUUGAUGAAUGCAAGCUAUUCUACUUUGCAGGGCAAGAAACGACUGCUAUCUUGCUAACAUGGACGAUGGUGGUUUUAAGCAUGCACCCCGAAUGGCAAGCAAGGGCUAGAGAAGAGGUCCUGCAGGUCCUCGGGAAAGACAAACCAGAGAUCGAUGGCUUGAACCGUUUAAAGAUCGUGAGUGCUCUGCCAUUACGCUAAUCAGCUUUCUUUUAGGUAAAAUGCAGAGUCUAAAUAAUUGCUGUGGCAGGUGACGAUGAUACUAUACGAGGUUCUUCGGUUGUACCCACCGCUGCUACACAUCCAGAGGAGAACAUACAAGACGGUGGAAAUCGGAAACGUAUCGUACCCACCAGGAACACUGCUCGCAUUGCCCAUAGUAUUCCUUCACCAUGACCAAAUCUUGUGGGGCGAAGAUGCAAGCGAGUUCAAACCGGAGAGAUUCGCACAAGGGAUAGCGAAGGCAUCGAGAGAUCAGAUUGCUUUCUUUCCGUUCGGCGGCGGUCCUCGCGUUUGCAUCGGUCAAAAUUUUGCGUUGCUGGAAGCUAAGAUGGGAUUGAGUGCGAUUCUUCAAAGAUUUUGGUUUGAGCUCUCACCAUCGUAUGCUCAUGCUCCACUCAAUGUCCGCACACUUCAUCCUCAACAUGGUGCUCAAUUGAGGUUGCACAAACUUGGAGUCGUCUCAUAACGAGGGGAAUCUCACUUGGGAGAUUUUGGUUUUACGAUGCUUUAGUGCUUUUUAUCUACUGCAUAAUGUAAUAGACAAUUUGUAGUUUCGAUUAUAAAAAUGAAGUGAUGGUUAAUAUGGAGCAAUGUUUUUGUAAUUUAAGACUAAAGCUUGUAAAACUAAUUUACCACUUCAAAUUUACACACCAGAGAAAAUACUCUUAUCGUUUAUCUUUUUGCACCCAUAGACAUAUUUAAUAUAUUUAAUCAAAUUGUCAAAGGUUUGGUUUACACAUUAGCAUCACGUAUAGCUAAUGUGUUAUUAUUUUAGUUGCCAAUGUCAUGCGCUACUCAAUAAUAAUUUUAUUUUUACAUUAGCAUAUCAUCGAUUGAUUGAUUGAUGAACAACAUGAUUAAUUGAUGAGUGUUCUAAUGUCUCUUAUGAGCAAUUACAAUCAACAAAUGUAAUCACCUUAUAACGACUACCAAAGUUUUACUAUAAAAUGGGUUAUUUGACUAAUUUAGAUUGUCCCAAACUAAUACUAAUUUGAGCGUAAGGAGGAGCAUCGUUAACACUGUCCCUGACUAAGUUUUAAAGGGUGGGGCGUCAAAAACAAACUAAAAAAGAAAUCAAGUUAAAUUCAUAUUGGCUUCCAACUCAAAGAACUCAAAAAUCGACUCUAAUAGAACCAAAUCUAAGCUUUACAAAAAUUCUAAACACUAUUUAUUGUCUUUCUAAGUAGAUCUAUAUAAGCUACUCAUUAUCAUUAAAAAAAUAAAAUGGAUAUAAGCAAAUCAUUCCUCAAUAAACACAAAUUAUCGAUAUCAAUGUUUAAUCUCCAUUGGUAUGGCCCAGAUUAUAACUAUACUAAACAAAUAAUUAAAAUAUCAUAUAAUAUAUUAUAAAAUGUAUCAAAUGUUAAAUAUUUUAAAGAUUUCUUUACAAAAUACUUUGAGUCUAGUCAGAAUCAUAUAGCAUUACCAAAACUAAUUUUGCAAAAGGCUUUACCAUAUUUUUGAACCAUAAAACAUUUUGAAAUCAAUAAGUGUUUCAAAUAGUAUUUACAAAAUAUAUUUUUUUUACUAAUUGAAAACAUACAUAAUAUUUUUCUUAUUUUUUUAAUAAUGAAAUAUUUUGUAAGUCAACCAAAAACUAUAUAAGUCAUAAACAUAUAAAUUAUUACUUGAACAUAAAUUAGAUCAGAUACAACUUAGUCGUAGAUAAUCAAAAUUAACACAAUAUAUAUUUUUUUUUUAUAGAUUCCUGCUCAAAUUAUUAUCGUUGUCGAAUCUAUUAUAGUACCAUAAGAUCACUUUCGCAGAUGAUCAAGAGAUCACAUACAUAAUAUUUUAUUCAAACAAUCAUACACAUUGUAAUAUAUUAUAUUAUUCAGUGUCAUAAGAUCACUUUCGUUGAGGAUCAUAAGAUCACAUAAAUAAUAUUCUAUUUAAGUAAUCAUACACAUGUAUAAUCUAUUAUAUGAUUGAGUGAUAAUAAGGUUUUCAGUUAUCAACAAGAAAAAUCUUUAAGAAACCAAUCAUAAUUUAUCAAUAGGUAAAAUCCAAAUAUCUCAUCUUGUCCUUACUAGUGGUUUAUAUUUUGAAAUCGCUGUUUAUAGUAACAAAAUAAUCUUCUAGUUUCAAUGUUGAAUUGAAAUAAUCUUUUUAAUAAAAUUUAAAAAUAAUUUAUAGUAAUAAAAUAAUCAUAAUUUGUUUCUCAAUUUUCAUAAAGACAUUAAAAAGGAAUAUCUUUUACCCACUAAAAUGGGAAUAAAUUCCUCCCAAUAAUAAUUAUACUAAUAAUCAUAUUUAAUAAUCAAUAGGUCCCAUAGCGAGUCAUGUUACCCUCACAAAGAACAAUAUUUUUUUAUACAUCAUUAAUUGUCAGACCUAAACUCAAAGCUAGCUAACAACUUCAUGUGCAAUCUAAUCUUGUCUAGGCUUUGUCCGGUACUAGAUAACUUCAUAAUAAAUCUCAUAAAAUAUCAAUUAAUUUUUGUAAAUCAUUGGUAAAAUGAAAUCAUAAAAAAAUUAGUAUCAUUAAAAUCCUUCAAAACCAAUAAUAUCACACUUAUUUCAUAAAUAGAAAAUAUGAUUUUUAAAGUGAAUGAAAUUCAAUAGAAAAUUCAAUCAUUCAAUCGAAUCAUAUGAUAUAAAAUAAUAUUAAAAUUAGACUUAAAACAAAGAAAUACAAUGAAUUUAUAAACUAAUCCCUAGAGUUUACAAAUUGAUCUCUAUUCUUUACGCAUCAAGUCAUGGAUAUAUCAAUUAGAUCCUUAAAACUUUAUAAAAAAAUCAAGUUAUCUCUACUACCUAGGCUAACUUAAUCGGUUCUCACCUGAAUCAAGUUUAGCCAAAAUCGAUCACUCUUGGAUUCAUACCUGCUCGCUUGUUUCAAUCUAGUUGUAUUAGAUAGGUUUAUGGGAGCCUAUCGAUUGAACCUAAGUUGAGUUCAUAUGAGAGCCUAUGAAUUAGAUCGGAUUCAUAUGUUCAAGUUCACAUUAGAGGCUGACCUAACAAUCCUCCUUGUCCAUGUUUUUUAGUUUAAACAAAACCAUAUCAUCUAAAUUUGUGAAUAUCAUAAUAAAAUACUACUCUCAAAUAAUAUGAUAUACUAAUAAAUCACCAAUAUUGAUUGAUAAAAUUAUAUUUCUAAAAACAAGUCUUAAAUCAUAAUAUCAACUAGAAACACUAAUAAUCUUAAAAGAAAGCCACUAGUAGUUUGAAAAAAAAAAAUCAUAUUUCACAUAAUUUCCAAAAUCAUCUCCGAAUUAUAAUCUUCUCAAAUCAUCAAAAAAUAUAACCGAAUAAUUAUAGAAAAUAGAAAGGAAAUCCUUUCCAUAUCAUACCAUAGAUGAAUUUAGUAUAAUAUUUUAUAUAUUGAUAAUAAGAAUAGAAAAAUAAGAUGUUAAUGACACACGGACUAUAAUAUGAAAGGAUGAUAAUAAUUAAACAUAACUAUACAGAAAAAAAAAUGGAUCUCUAUGAUAUAAAGUUUUACCCUUAAGACGUCCCUUAGGAUUAGGUCAAGAAGGCUGCCCCCUAAGCAUCGAGCAUUAGUAUAUCAUGUCUUUAGUAUUAGUUAUAAAGUGUAUAUAUACUUUUAAGAGGGUGUUGUAAGCUACGGAAAGAAAGUUUUAUUGCUUUAAAAAUAAUUGCAUCAACUCGAUCGAUCCUCUACAUCCUAGAAUGAGGUCCCAACCUACUAAGAUACAAAACUAGUCAGAUGGACAAUCUCGAAGAUGCUAUAAAUAGAAGACAUAAAGAACAAGUCAAGUAGAUAGACCUGACGACUCAAACCAAUGCAAUAUGAGAUAGCAAGCUAUGCAUCGGGAUGAGAUAGUGAGUCAGCACUAUUGUCAAAAGGCAUUUUGGGCACUAUGAGAACAUGAUGAUCCUCAUGAUAAUCGAUAAUCGAUAAACGAAUCCUUCUCAAAUUCUAGUCUGUGGUACCUUAUCUUGAAAUGGACUAAGGUGAUGUAGUACCCGUACCGAUAUGAGAUGACCCUUGAUCUCUCUAAGCCCCUUUUAAAUCCAACGGAAGCCUUGUAGUUGGCAAUUUCCUUCUCUCGAUACCUUAGUAUCAUGGGUUUCUUGGCCUCCAACACCUCUUUCAAGCCUCGAACUUACUCGGUGAUACUCAUGAUUUAUUCAUUGGCCAUGGUAACUUGAUGAGCUUUGAGUUGUAUGUCCUCAUCGAAUCCAACUCUCAGGUAAGUCCCAAGAGCCUCUUAUCUACUUAACGUAAUCAGCAAGGUGUCACUUGACCUUCUCUAGUUGCCUCGUCAGCUUGGCCCCUCAAACCUCUAUCUCUCCAUUAGCUCCUCUACUUCUUCGUAAAAAGUAUCAAUUAUAUGAAUUAUUAGUGCAUCACGGAGUCCGCAUCACAUAUGUAAUCAACGUGGGUUGUGAUGUAAUGAUAAUACUACAAACAAAAAAUAAUGGGAUAAGUAAUAAAAAAAUAAAAUAACUAGCCAGAGCUUAAUUUACUAGUACUUCUAGGAUAACACAUGUUAAUUAAAAUCACCAAAGGGAAGUAGUAGAUAUGCUUCAUCACUCUUAAGCACACGGACCCUCGGUAGUAUUACUUCGCAAUAGUACUGUCACCCCCAUACUUUAUGCCCCUUUACAAACCCUCUCAUCUAAUAUAUAUAUAUAUAUAUAUAUGUGUGUGUGUACGGAACACGUGCAACAUGUGGUCGGCGACCGGGUGAGUCACCCGAGUGUGUCGCCAUUUCACCCAACCAAGAGAUAAAGUCGCGUUACAGCAGCCGGAUCCAUCACCAGACCGCUGCAGCCUUCUCCCUUGCUCUUUGAUGCAGAGCUCCAUGGCGCUGUCCGUAUUAGUGGAGAGGCUGUGGAGCUUGGGAUGGGGUGUGGCGUGGCUGCUGCUCUUGGUCUGCGCCGUGUGGGCGCUGAACCACGCGUGGUGGAGGCCCAGGCGACAAGACCGCUUGCUCCGGGCGCAGGGACUCCAAGGCACUCCUUACCGCUUCCUCCGCGGCGACCUCAAGGAGGGCAAGCGCCUCCUCGAGGAGGCGCUCUCCAAGCCCAUGCCCCUCUCCCACCACAUCAUCCCUCGCGUGGAGCCUUUCCUCCACGCCGCUAUGAACGAUCUCGGCAAGUGCUCUCGGCCGCUGCUGUCUCCCUCCCCCUUCUCCUCCUUUUGCUUUGCCAACUCUCAGUUGUUUUAGCAAGCCAUUCGAUUCCAUCACCAACUGAUGGAUUGAGAAAUCACUUCAUGCACUGAACGAGAUGAAACAAAUAUUACAUAUCAAUUCAUAGAUUUUAGUAGGCAUAUAUACUUUCUUGAGGCAGACAAUUGACCUUCUUAAGAUUUCCAACUUGAGAACAGAAAUCAAGUGUGAGCCAUGCACUGAUUUGUGAGCGAAGUCUUAUGCUGUGUUAAGAACAAAAUCUGUCGUCUCAAAUGCAGGCAGGAGAUUCUUCAGCUGGUUUGGACCUGUGCCACGAGUGAUGAUCAUGGACCCGGAAUUGGUGAGGGAAAUCCUGUUGAACAAGUUUGGUCAUUUUGAACGAACAACUCUAAGCCCCCUCGGACGAGCUGUCGCUACUGGUCUUUUAAGCUAUAAUGGGGGAAAGUGGGCCAAACACAGGAGGAUUCUGAACCCCGCUUUCCACGUCGAGAAGUUAAAGGUAAUCAAUCAUCCAUGGUUCUCUCCUUAUGACACAUCUCAAUCUUAGCUUGCGGCUUAUACGAUUUUAGAUCAUUCAAAUGCCUCUUAAUUUGUUGUAAUUCGCAGCGAAUGUUGCUGGCGUUCUCUGCUUCUUGUGGUGAUCUCGUCGGCAGAUGGGAGAAUUUGGUCGGCCAGGAGGGAUCCUGUGAGUUAGAUGUUUGGCCUGAGUUCCAAUACUUCACUGGAGACGUCAUUUCACGAGCAGCUUUCAGCAGCAACUACGAAGAAGGUAGACGAAUUUUCCAACUCCAACUCGAGCUCGGUCAACUCGUCGUUCAGGCUAUCCACAGUGGUUAUAUCCCGGGUUACAGGUGAGCUCCUUCUGUGUCCAUGUUCCAGUCGAAGAACAACGAAGACUAUAUGGCUCUGGGUACUCUUUAACUUGCAAAUUUUAGAAUUCUUGCAAUUACUGACUCUAAUUGCUGCUUUGUGCGUAGCACAGAUUUCUGCCUACCCCAAAAAAUAACAGAAUAAAAGCGAUCAAUAAAGAGAUUCGAUCACUUCUACGAGGUAUAGUAAGGAAGAGAGAGGAAGCUAUGAAAACUGGUGAAGCAAGCGGCCAAGAUCUCUUGGGCUUGUUGAUGGAGUCCAAUAUCAAGCAAUUCCAGGAGCAUGGGAACAAGAAUGCUGGGAUGACUAUCGAUGAAGUGGUUGAGGAAUGCAAGCUAUUCUACCUUGCAGGGCAAGAAACAACUGCUGUCUUGCUUACAUGGACGAUGGUAGUCUUAGGCAUGCAUCCCGAAUGGCAAGAAAGGGCUAGAGAAGAGGUCCUGCAGGUCCUUGGGAAAGACAAACCAGAGUUCGAUGGCUUGAACCGUUUAAAGAUUGUGAGUGCUCUGCCAUUACGCUAAUCAGCUUUCUUUUAGGUAAAUGCAGGGUCUAAACAAUUGCUGUGGCAGGUGACGAUGAUACUAUACGAGGUUCUUCGGUUGUACCCACCGCUGGUACUCAUCCAUAGGAGAACAUACAAGACGGUGGAAAUCGGAAACGUAUCGUACCCACCAGGAGCACUGCUCGCAUUGCCCAUAGCAUUCCUUCACCAUGACCAAAUCUUGUGGGGCGAAGAUGCAAGCGAGUUCAAACCGGAGAGAUUCGCACAAGGGAUAGCGAAGGCAUCGAGAGAUCAGAUUGCUUUCUUUCCGUUCGGCGGGGGUCCUCGCGUUUGCAUCGGUCAAAAUUUUGCGUUGCUGGAAGCUAAGAUGGGAUUGAGUGCGAUUCUUCAAAGAUUUUGGUUUGAGCUCUCACCAUCGUAUGCUCAUGCUCCUCACAGUGUCGUCACGCUUCGACCUCAACAUGGUGCUCAACUGAGGUUGCACAGACUCGGAGUCGUCUCGUAAGAAGCAGAAUCUCACUUGGGAGAUUAUGGUUUUACGAUGCUUUGGUGCUUUAUCUACUGCAUAAUGUAAUAGACUAUUUGUAGUUUGGAUUACAAAAAUGAGGUGAUGGUUAAUAUUGCGCAAUGUUAUUGUAAUUUAAGACUAAAGCAUGUAAAACUAAUUUACACACUAGAGAAAAUUCUCUAUCGUUUAUCUUUUGCACCCAUAGCCACGUUUAAUAUUUUUAAUCAAUUUGUCAAAGGUUUAUAAAAUCCAAAUCCUUAUAACAUUAUCAUAGUAGAUAUGAUGUGUUUUACACAUUAGCAUCAUGUACAACUAAUGUGUUAUUAACUACUCAAUAAUAAUUUUAUUUUCACAUCAACACAUCAUAGAUUGAUGAACAACAUGAUUCUUUGAUAAAUGUUCUAAUGUCUCUUAUGAGCAAUUACGAUCAACAAACGUGAUCACCCUAUAACAACUACCUAAGUUUUACUAUAAGAUGGAUUAUUAAAAUAUGCCUAGAGAUAUUGGAGAAAAAUAGGUCGAUCAAACUAGUGUGAUAUAUUCAACUAGUUUAGAUUGUGCCAAACCAAUACUAACUUGAGCGUAGGAGAAGUAUCAUUAAGACUAUCCCCGACUAAGUUUUGAACAGUGGCAAGUCCAGUUUAGUGAAUUUUUUCAAAACAUUCUCAAAAAGAAAUAAAGUUGGAUCCGAGUUGACUUCCAACUCGAAGAAUUCAAAAUCUACUCUAUUAGAACCAAAUCCAAGCUUAAUAAAAAUUCUAAAUACUUCAAUUAUAUUUGUAAGUAUAUCAAUGCAAGCUACUCAUUAGCAUUAAAAAAAUAAAAUGGAUAUAAGCAAAUCUUGCCUCAGUAAACACAAACUACCGAUAUCAAUGUUUAAUCUCCAUUAGUAUGGUCCUGAUUAUAACUAUACUAAACAAAUAAUUAAAAUAUCAUAUAAUAUAUUAUAAAAUGUAUCAAAUGUUAAAUAUUUUAAAGAUUUCUUUACAAAAUACUUCGAGUCUAGUCAGAAUCAUAUAGCAUUACCAAAACUAAUUUUGCAAAAGGCUUUACCAUAUUUUUGAACCAUAAAACAUUUUGAAAUCAAUAAGUGUUUCAAAUAGUAUUUACAAACUUUUUUUUUCUAAUUGAAAACAUAUAUAAUAUUUUUCUUAUUUUUGAAUAAUAAAGUAUUUUGUAAGNNNNNNNNNNNNNNNNNNNNUAUAUAUAUAUAUAUAUAUAUAUAUAUAUAUAUAUAUAUAUAUAUAUAUAUAUAUAUAUAAUAGAUUCCUGCUCAAAUUAUUAUCAUUAUCGAUUUUUAUUUUCGCAGAUGAUCAAGAGAUCACAUACAUAAUAUUUUAUUCAAACAAUCAUACACAUGGUAAUAUAUUAUAUUAUUCAGUGUCAUAAGAUCACAUAAAUAAUAUUCUAUUUAAGUAAUUAUACACAUGUAUAAUCUAUUAUAUGAUUGAGUGAUAAUAAGGUUAUCAGUUAUCAAAAAGAAAAAUCUUUAAGAAACCAAUCAUAAUUUAUCAAUAGAUAAAAUCCAAAUAUCACAUCUUGUCCUUACUAGUGAUUUUUAUUUUGGAAUCGUCGUUUCCAAGUUUAGAUUUCUGAGAACCACCAUCGAAUCGGAUCUGGGCGAUUCUAGUUUCAACGUUGAAUUGAAAUAAUCUUUUUAAUAAAAUUUAAAAAUAAUUUAUAGUAACAAAAUAAUCAUAAUUUAUUUCUAAAUUUUCAUAAAGACAUUAAAAAAAUAUUUUUUACCCACUAAAAUGGGAAUAAGUUCCUCCCAAUAAUAAUUAUACUAAUAAUCAUAUUUAAUAAUCAAUAGGUCCCAUGGGGAAAUCAUGUUACCCUCACAGUAAUAUUUUUUUAUACAUCAUCAAUUGUCAUUAGUUAGUAAAUUUCAUGUGCAAUCUAAUCUUGUCUAGGUUUUGUCCCGGACUAUAUAACUGUCAUAAUAAAUCUCAUAAAAUAUCAAUUAUUUUUUUAUAAAUUAUUGUCAAAAUAAAAUUAUAAAAAAAUUAGUAUAAUUAAAAUCCUUUAAAACCAAUAAUAUCACACUUAUUUCAUAAUAAAAAAUAUGAUUUUAAAGUAAAUGAAAUUCAAUAGAAAAUUCAAUCAUUCAAUCGAAUCAUAUGAUAUAAAAUAAUAUUAAAAUCAUACUUAAAACGAAGAAAUACAAUGAAUUUACAAACUAAUCCCUAGAGUUUACAAAUGAAUUUAAACUAGUCGAUUGAUAUAUCAAUUAGAUCCUUAAAACUUUAUUAAAAAAUCAAGUUAUCUCUACUACCUAAGCUAACUUAAUCGGUUCUCACCUGAAUCAAAAUUAGCCUAAACCAAAAUCGAUCACUCUUGGGUUCAUACUUGUCCGUUUGUUUCAGUCUAAUUGUAUUAGAUAAGUUUAUGGGAGCUUAUGGAUUGAACCUAAGUUGAGUUCAUAGGGAGCCUAUGAAUUAGAUUGGAUUCAUGGGUUCAAGUCGACAUUAGAGUUUGACAUUAGAGCUUGUCGAUGUUUUUUAGUUUAAACAAAAGUAUAUCAACUAAAUUUGUGAAUAUCAUAAUAAAAUACUACUCUCAAAUAAUAUGAAAUAUUAAUAAAUCCCCAAUAUUGAUUGAUAAAAUUAUAUUUCUAAAAGCAAGUCUUAAAUCAUAAUAUCAACUAGAAACACUAAUAAUCUUAUAAGAAAGCCACUGGUAAUUUGAAAAAAAAUUCAUAUUUCACAUAAUUUUCAAAAUCAUCUCCGAAUUAUAAUCUUCUCAAAUCAUAAAAAAUAUAACCAAAUAAUUAUAGAAAAUAGAAAGAAAAUCCUUUCCAUAUCAUACGAUAAAUGAAUUUAGCAUAUUAUUUUCUAUAUUGAUAAUAAAAAUAGAAAAAUAAAAUAUUAAUGACACAUGGACUAUAACAUGAAAGGAUGAUAAUAAUUGAACAUAACUAUACAGAGAAAAGAUGAAUCUCUAUGAUAUAAAGUUUUACCCUUAAGAUGUCCCUCGGGAUUAAGUCAAGAAGGCUACGCCCUAAGCAUCGAGCAUUGGUAUAUCAUGUCUUUAGUAUUAAUUAUAAAGUGUAUAUAUACUUUUAAGAUGUUAGUAUUGCAUGCUAUUGAAAGAAAGUUUCAUUGUUUUAAAAAUGAUUACAACAACUCGAUCGAGCCUCUACAUCCUAGAAUGAGGUCCCAACCUACUAAGAUACAAUACUAGUUAGAUGGACAAUCUCAAAGAUGCUAUAAAUAGAAGACAUAAAAAACAAGUUGAGUAGAUAGACUUGACGACUCAAACCAAUGCAAUAUGAGAUAGCAAGCUAUGCAUCGGGAUAAGGUAGCGAGUCAGGACUGUUGUCAAAAGGCAUUUUGGGCACUACGAGAACAUGAUGAUCCUCAUGAUAAUCGAUGAAUGAAUCCUUCUCGAGCUCUAGUCUAUGGUACCUUGCCUUGAAAUGAGCUAAGGUGAUGUAGUACCCAUACCGAUAUGAGAUGACCCAUGAUCUCUCUAAGCCCCUCUUGAAUCUAACGGAAGCUUUGUAAUUGACAAUUUCCUUCUCUCGGUACCUUAGUAUCAUGGGUUCCUUGGCCUCCAACACCUCCUUCAAGCCUCGAACUUACUUAGUGAUACUCAUGAUUUAUUUAUUGGCUAUGGUAACUUGAUGAGCUUUCAGUUAUAUGUCCUCAUCGAAUCCAACUCUUAGGUAAGUCCCAGGAGCCUCUCAUUUACUUAACGUAGUCAGUAAGGUAUCACUCGAUCUCCUCUAGUUGCCUCGUCAGCUUGGCCCCUCAAGCCUCUACCUCGACAAGACAAGGAGCAUGGGGUCCUCAAUCUCCGCCUCUCUACUUCUUCGUAAAGAUUAUCAAUUAUAUGGAUUAUUAGUGCAUGACGGAGUCGACAUCCUAUAGGUAAUCAAUAUGGGUUGUGAUGUAACGGUGAUACUACAAACAAAAAAUAAUGGGUAAGUAAUGAAAAAAUAAAGGGGCUAAUCAUAGUUUAACUUACUAGUACUUCUAUGAUAGGACGUGUUAAUUAAAACCUCAAAGAGAAAAUAGUAGAUAUGCUUCACCACUCGUAAUAACACGGAUCGUCGGUAGUAUUAUUUCGCAAUAGUACUAUCACCCCGUACUUUAUGUCCCUUAUACAAAUUCUUCCAUCGUGGCAAGUGAACUCGAGCUUGANNNNNNNNNNNNNNNNNNNNNNNNNNNNNNNNNNNNNNNNNNNNNNNNNNNNNNNNNNNNNNNNNNNNNNNNNNNNNNNNNNNNNNNNNNNNNNNNNNNNNNNNNNNNNNNNNNNNNNNNNNNNNNNNNNNNNNNNNNNNNNNNNNNNNNNNNNNNNNNNNNNNNNNNNNNNNNNNNNNNNNNNNNNNNNNNNNNNNNNNNNNNNNNNNNNNNNNNNNNNNNNNNNNNNNNNNNNNNNNNNNNNNNNNNNNNNNNNNNNNNNNNNNNNNNNNNNNNNNNNNNNNNNNNNNNNNNNNNNNNNNNNNNNNNNNNNNNNNNNNNNNNNNNNNNNNNNNNNNNNNNNNNNNNNNNNNNNNNNNNNNNNNNNNNNNNNNNNNNNNNNNNNNNNNNNNNNNNNNNNNNNNNNNNNNNNNNNNNNNNNNNNNNNNNNNNNNNNNNNNNNNNNNNNNNNNNNNNNNNNNNNNNNNNNNNNNNNNNNNNNNNNNNNNNNNNNNNNNNNNNNNNNNNNNNNNNNNNNNNNNNNNNNNNNNNNNNNNNNNNNNNNNNNNNNNNNNNNNNNNNNNNNNNNNNNNNNNNNNNNNNNNNNNNNNNNNNNNNNNNNNNNNNNNNNNNNNNNNNNNNNNNNNNNNNNNNNNNNNNNNNNNNNNNNNNNNNNNNNNNNNNNNNNNNNNNNNNNNNNNNNNNNNNNNNNNNNNNNNNNNNNNNNNNNNNNNNNNNNNNNNNNNNNNNNNNNNNNNNNNNNNNNNNNNNNNNNNNNNNNNNNNNNNNNNNNNNNNNNNNNNNNNNNNNNNNNNNNNNNNNNNNNNNNNNNNNAGAACACGUGCAACAGGUGGUCGGCCACCUGUUUGUCCAUUUGCUGUGGGGAUGGCGAUGGCCACACCGUGUGAGUCAACCGAGGGUGUCGCCAUUUCACCCACCCAUGAGAUAAGGUCGCGUUACAGCAGCCGAAUCCAUCACCAGACCGCUGCAGCCUUCUCCCUUCUUGCUCUUUGCUGCUUUACUCCAUGGCGCUGUCCGUCUUAGUGGAGAGGCUGUGGAACUUGGGAUGGGGUGUGGCGUGGCUGCUGCUCUUGGUCUGCGCCGUGUGGGCGCUGAACCACGCGUGGUGGAGGCCCAGGCGACAAGACCGCUUGCUCCGGGCGCAGGGACUCCAAGGCACUCCUUACCGCUUCCUCCGCGGCGACCUAAAGGAGGACAAGCGCCUCCUCGAGGAGGCGCUCUCCAAGCCCAUGCCCCUCUCCCACCACAUCGUCCCUCGCGUCGAGCCUUUCCUCCACGCCGCUAUGAACGAUCUCGGCAAGUGCUCUCGGCCGCUGCUGUCUCCCUCCCCUUUCUCCUCCUUUUGCUUUGCCAACUCUCAGUUGUUUCAGCAAGCUGUUCGAUUCCAUCACCAACUGAUCGAUUGAGAAAUCACUCCAUGCACUGAACGAGAAGAAACAAAUACUCCAUGUCAAUUCAUAGAUUUUAGUAGGCAUAUAUACUUUCUUGAGGCAGACAAUUGACCUUCUUUAGUUUUCCAACUCGAGAACAGAUAUCAAGCGUGAGCCAUGCACUGAUUUGUCAACUUACUCUUAUGCUGUGUUAAGAACAAAUCUGUAGUCUCAAAUGCAGGCAGCAGAUUCUUCAGCUGGUUUGGACCUGUGCCACGAGUGAUGAUCAUGGACCCGGAAUUGGUGAGGGAAAUCCUAUCGAACAAGUUUGGUCAUUUUGAACGAAUAACUCUAAGCCCCCUCGGACGAGCUGUCGCUACUGGUCUUUUAAGCUAUAAUGGGGGAAAGUGGGCCA